RNAcentral lists this transfer-messenger RNA (353 nucleotides) under Desulfuromonas sp. It matches the Rfam family "transfer-messenger RNA". Rfam says of the family: Bacterial tmRNA, also known as 10Sa RNA or SsrA, is named for its dual tRNA and mRNA-like properties. Its role is to liberate the mRNA from a stalled ribosome. The record is from RNAcentral. RNAcentral also lists the same sequence under 1 other name. Lineage: Bacteria; Pseudomonadati; Thermodesulfobacteriota; Desulfuromonadia; Desulfuromonadales; Desulfuromonadaceae.
GGGGGUGCACUGGUUUCGACGGGGAUCGGAAGCGCUUGUUGCAUGCCGGAGUGGGCAGGCUCCGUUAAAAAGCCCAAACACGUAUAAACGCCGACAACGACGUACAAUACGCACUGGCUGCUUAAUUAAGUAGUCACGUCUCAUGACUGAUCGCCCGUGUCGGGCAUGAGACGCUAAGAAGCGGGCUAGUCUCAUUGUCUGUCUGCGCCAUUGAGGCGAAACUUUAGCAGACUCCCCCAUAAGGAAUCCUGUUCGUGGGAGUCCAUAUGGGUUAAGCAAUACACGAACUACGCAUGUAGACGCUUGACGUGAAAGAUUUUCGGACGCGGGUUCGAUUCCCGCCACCUCCACCA